AUACGUAGGGUGCAAGCGUUAAUCGGAAUUACUGGGCGUAAAGCGUGCGCAGGCGGUUUUGUAAGACAGAGGUGAAAUCCCCGGGCUCAAACUGGGAACUGCCUUUGUGACUGCAAGGCUAGAGUACGGCAGAGGGGGAUGGAAUUUCGCGUGUAGCAGUGAAAUGCGUAGAUAUGCGGAGGAACACCGAUGGCGAAGGCAAUCCACUGGGCCUGUUCUGGCGCUCAUGCACGAGAUCGGGGGGAGCAAACAGGAUUAGAUACCCUGGUAGUCCACGCCCUAAACGAUGUCAACUGGUUGUUGGGUCUUCAUUGACUCAGUAACGAAGCUAACGCGUGAAGUUGACCGCCUGGGGAGUACGGCCGCAAGGUUGAAACUCAAAUGAAUUGUCUGGG
RNAcentral lists this ribosomal RNA (395 nucleotides) under uncultured bacterium. Its description in RNAcentral is "partial 16S ribosomal RNA". It matches the Rfam family "Bacterial small subunit ribosomal RNA", at positions 523 to 918 of the family's 1533-position model. The record is from RNAcentral.